GACGAACGCUGGCGGCGUGCUUAACACAUGCAAGUCGAACGGAAAGGCCUGCUUUCCCUUGUGUAUUGCGGGUACUCGAGGGGCGAACGGGCGAGGAACACGUGAGCUAUCCGUCCCCUACUUGGUUAUAAGCUUGGGAAAAUGGGUCUUAUUCCCGUUAGUACUGCAGGGUGGUGCCUGUUGUGGAAAACGUUUGUUUAGUGGUUGGGGAUGAGCUCGCGGCCUAUCAGCUUGUUGGUGGGGUAAUGGCCUACCAAGGCGGCGACGGGUAGCCGGCCUGAGAGGGUGGACGGCCACAUUGGGACUGAGAUACGGCCCAGACUCCUACGGGAGGCAGCAGUGGGGAAUAUUGCACAAUGGGCGGAAGCCUGAUGCAGCGACGCCGCGUGGGGGAUGACGGCCUUCGGGUUGUAAACUCCUUUCGACCGCGAGGAAGCCACCUGGUUGGAAGGGUGGUGACGGUAGUGGUAGAAGAAGCACCGGCUAACUACGUG
This 494-nucleotide ribosomal RNA is filed under the name uncultured bacterium. RNAcentral's name for it is "partial 16S ribosomal RNA". It matches the Rfam family "Bacterial small subunit ribosomal RNA", at positions 28 to 507 of the family's 1533-position model. The record is from RNAcentral.